Molecule: ribosomal RNA, 507 nt
Filed under: Uroleucon formosanum
Lineage: Eukaryota; Metazoa; Arthropoda; Insecta; Hemiptera; Aphididae
Description: partial 16S ribosomal RNA
Source: RNAcentral
AUUAAGUUUAAUUUAAUAUAGGAUCUGCUCAAUGAUUUAUUAGAUAGCUGCAGUAUAUUGACUGUGCAAAGGUAGCAUAAUAAUUAGUCUUUUAAUUGAAGACUUGUAUGAAAGAUUUGAUGAGAAAUAAACUUUAUUAUUUAUAUAAUUAAAAUUUUAUUUUUAAGUAAAAAAGCUUAAAUUAUUUAAAGGGACGAUAAGACCCUAUAAAACUUUAUAAAUAUUAAUUUUAAUUUUUUUGGAUUUAUAAAUAUUUUAAUUUUAUUAUUUAUUUUAUUGGGGUGAUAAAAAAAAAUAUUUAACUUUUUUUAAAAUUUUACAUAAUUUAAUGAAUAUUUGAAUUAAAAUUUUUAAUUAUAGGAAAAAGUUACUUUAGGGAUAACAGCGUAAUUAAUUUUUUAAGUUCAAAUUUAAAAAUUAGUUUGCGACCUCGAUGUUGAAUUAAGAUUAAUCUUAGGUGCAAAAUUUUAAGUAUUAGGUCUGUUCGACCUUUAAAUUCUUACGUGA